AUUGAACGCUGGCGGCAGGCUUAACACAUGCAAGUCGAGCGGUAACAGGAGAAGCUUGCUUCUCGCUGACGAGCGGCGGACGGGUGAGUAAUACUUAGGAAUCUACCUAGUAGUGGGAGAUAGCUCGGGGAAACUCGAAUUAAUACCGCAUACGACCUACGGGAGAAAGGGGGCAGUUUACUGCUCUCGCGAUUAGAUGAGCCUAAGUCGGAUUAGCUAGUUGGUGGGGUAGAGGCCUACCAAGGCGACGAUCUGUAGCUGGUCUGAGAGGAUGAUCAGCCACACCGGGACUGAGACACGGCCCGGACUCCUACGGGAGGCAGCAGUGGGGAAUAUUGGACAAUGGGGGCAACCCUGAUCCAGCCAUGCCGCGUGUGUGAAGAAGGCCUUUUGGUUGUAAAGCACCUUAAGCAGUGAAGAAGACUCUAUGGUUAAUACCCAUAGACGAUGACAUUAGCUGCAGAAUAAGCACCGGCUAACUCUGUGCCAGCCGCCGCGGUAA
This 502-nucleotide ribosomal RNA is filed under the name uncultured bacterium. RNAcentral describes it as "partial 16S ribosomal RNA". It matches the Rfam family "Bacterial small subunit ribosomal RNA", at positions 30 to 523 of the family's 1533-position model. The record is from RNAcentral.